CGGCUCAUAUAAAUGAGCAUAACUUCGUGGAAGUCAAUGGGGCGAACUCCGAUCUACACGAGCUGAGAAUCUGGCUCUUUGCCUCCAAUCUACAGUAAAAGCGGUGUUACCCGGCACUUUAUCAACGGGAAAGCUCUAUUAGCCGGCAUUUCUGAUCUCUCCCAAUACAAAUCUUCAAUCUAGUAACCGGGACGAGUAUACUGCCCAGCACGUUAUGCAAUUGCACAUCCCGCACUCUACUUCUAUGCAAAAGAGGCAGAAGACAUGUAAGCAAGCUGAUAUCAGAGAUUUAUUUAAAAAAAGCAGCUUCCAGGGUGUGUCAGGGUCAUUACAGAUUCAGCCCAAUCUCCUCCACCUUCUCCAUCUACAAUGAUAACGGAGGUUGAUAAUGAUGACGCUGCGGCACUGCAAGAUCCUGAAGUGCCUUCUGAAUCAUCAAAGAAAGAUUACAUUAUGGUCAGUCUAGUUUUAGUGUUAAGUGUAUUUUUAGUGAUCUGGGUGUAUGCCAGGCGCUGCCCCUAGCGAUAUAUAGCGUCAUCAGAUAACCUACUGUAUAGAAAACGUUACCUGUCUACACCUCCAAGAAACCAACCCCUCGGCAGUGCAGGACUACUACGGGACUGGGGAGUACCUGUCUACUAUCUCCUACUUGAUUAAUUUUAUUGUAUUCUAAUUCUUUGAAAAUUGGUAUUCCACUGGUAAGUAGAACUCUUAGUUAACUGGAAUAUUUGAUUAACCAGCACCCCCCGUUCCCCCAACAUGCCGGAUACCAAAGCUUUUACUGUAUUUAAGAAAGGCCUAGCGUGCCUGUGUACAUUUCUGACCUGUCUCUCAAUGUGCCUAAUGACCUGGGGACUGUUUCAAACAUGCCUGCAGAUAGCAUGUCUCUCAUCAACAGGACCUUUCUCGUCUCAUCAGCUUAUGGAAGAUGUGGGUUUUGCUCUUGUAGAUGUUCAGUAACCUGUUCCUCCCGGUGCCUGAGUGAGAGCAACUCAAACACAUUUAUUCUAAAGCCUUUUAUUUAUCAUUUUAAAGAGAGAUUCUUUCUUAAUCAACAGCAACAUGAAUUUCUCGGCGGUAUUGUUAUCCCUGCGCUACCGAGGGGCUUAGAGAGGNUGAAUCACUGCUUCUCUCACGUGGCCUUGAAGGAUAAAGGCAAUGAAAUCCACAGCAGCUAUUCACCAAAGGAGAGCAGGGGGAGGGAAGGAAUUCAAGGUCUUUGCAUUAUCCAGUGAUGGAUGGCAGUACCUUUCCAACGCCCUCCUCCCCAGUUCCCAGCUGCAAUGAACACUUCACACUCUGGGCUUCUCCCCUGCGGGCCUUGAGCCUUCAGGAGGAGGAGAUGGGAGGGGGUGGAGUUCAGGAAACUAGGCUCUGAACCUAACCUUCCUCCAUGUCACAUUUUGGAUUCUUCAUCCAUCAAAUGAGAGGCCACACGAAGCACUCCUCUCUCUUUUGGAUCUAUGUCCAAUCGAGUCACACUCAUGAGUGAGCAGAUGGUGCAGCUGGGCCGUGACACAUAUAAUUGGCUAACAGCAACAGCCAUAUUAGUUGGAGGUUUCCACCCCAGAGACAUCCUAGAAAGAUUCCCUAACUGCCUGCUAACACACCCUGUCCUCACCACAACUUUCCUCUCUCACAAAAUUCUGCACCCCCCCCAAACACCUUCCUUCCCCAAAUCCACCCUAGUCUUCUGUACCACACACACACACAAACUCCAUGCCUCCCAAAUACCCAAACGCAGCCUUUCCCAGGGACAUGCAUUCAAAGCACUUACACCCACUGUUCCACUAGGGACAGAGUAAGUGGUAACUAAACUGGACCAAAGUGAGUCUUGCAGUGACUCAUUGCCUUCCCAUGAGUUCACUGGCAUUGCACCAGAGAAGCAGGGGAUCUGAUGUGAUGCCUUGUCCCCGCCAAGAUUUCUCUGCUAAUAGAGAAAUGA
RNAcentral lists this long non-coding RNA (1945 nucleotides) under Chrysemys picta bellii (western painted turtle). Its description in RNAcentral is "lncRNA (ENSCPBG00000004908.1)". Lineage: Eukaryota; Metazoa; Chordata; Testudines; Emydidae. The record is from RNAcentral.